Molecule: long non-coding RNA, 524 nt
Organism: Oncorhynchus keta (chum salmon)
Lineage: Eukaryota; Metazoa; Chordata; Actinopteri; Salmoniformes; Salmonidae
Exons: 3
Source: RefSeq, a predicted model, not a curated record
GUGAGGGAGUUGGUAGUGAGGUAGUGAGGGAGAGAGGUAGUGAGGGAGUUGGUAGUGAGGUAGUGAGGGAGUUGGUAGUGAGGUAGUGAGGGAGAGAGGGAGUUGGUAGUGAGGUAGUGAGGGAGAGAGGUAGUGAGGGAGUUGGUAGUGAGGUAGUGAGGGAGUUGGUAGUGAGGUAGUGAGGGAGAGAGGUAGUGAGGUAGUGAGGGAGAGAGGUAAGUGAGGGAGAGAGGUAGUGAGGUAGUGAGGGAGUUGGUAGUGAGGUAGUGAGGGAGAGAGGUAGUGAGGUAGUGAGGGAGUUGGUAGUGAGGUAGUGAGGGAGAGAGGUAGUGAGGUAGUGAGGGAGAGAGGUAGUGAGGUAGUGAGGGAGAGAGGUAGUGAGGGAGAGAGGUAGUGAGGGAGAGAGGUAGUGAGGGAGAGAGGUAGUGAGGUAGUGAGGUAGUGAGGGAGAGAGGUAGUGAGGGAGAGAGGUAGUGAGGUAGUGAGGGACAGAGGUAGUGAGGGAGAGAGGUAGUGAGGGAGAG